This is an RNA transcript of Pimephales promelas (fathead minnow), 2731 nucleotides long. RefSeq lists it as uncharacterized. The record is from RefSeq and is a predicted model, not a curated record. NCBI's taxonomy places the organism in Eukaryota, Metazoa, Chordata, Actinopteri, Cypriniformes, Leuciscidae.
AUUGCUUGUGUAGAGUGUCAAGCGUACGUGCUACACAUUGUGCCUGGAGAGAUUGAUGUUUUGUCAUCCACCUGCUUCUAAGCUGUAAAAGCAAGCGCAGCAAAGGCAAACCUACCCAGCUUCAAAAUUCAAACAAAGAAAUCUUAGUGGGCUGUUUACAUAUCUGUGGAAGGAUAUCUGAGCUUGUGUUGACGGGGUGCUAGAGUGGUUGAGAGAUCAGUCCCCGCACAAUGGACGAGUGGGAAAUCAAACACUGGAAUGCUGGGAGAACGCUGGGGAAACUGACGGAGCGGAGGGCUGAGCUUUGGAAAGGAGGACGGAUACUUCCUGUUCCUGCUGGAGUGACCCGCAGGUCUGAGGAGGAGUGAGGGAGAGAGGAGGCAGAGAAAGCGAGUUUUAGGUCUUUCCAAGAACCCUGUGAAACCUGCUUAAAAACUCCCCGGUGUACAGAUACCGAUGUACUGGAUAAACAAGUACAAAACUUGCCGAUAUCCUCACCAUAAUUGCCCAGGAGUUCAUGCUCCCGUUUUCGCAGGUGUGUGAAGGUAUAAUGAUUGACUCUGACACAUCUCUGCAUAGUCGCAUCAAACAGCCACCGCUGCAGCACCGAGGAUCUAUAUUUACCCAUCAGCCUCCUUUUCAUGGUUCCCAGCUGAACUUGGCUGAGGUCAGUGUCCGGUCAAAUGGAGUCAGGCCUGUGCGUCUGUGGGGGUGCAGAUGAAGUGGUCAGCAGUGUGACAGUUAGCGGGGAUUCUGACAGCCCCAGCUCCAGUGUGGAUUAGAGACAGGUCUGGACUGGACAGAAGGGAAAGUCCCAGGAAUGCAGACACCUUACCCCAGUACGAGAUUUGGAGACAGGACAGGGGGGCAGGUUACAGAACAAGGCAAAGAGGACAUUGUGUGCAUGCAUGCAGGACUGAGCGUCUACACAUCGCCAGUGUGCCAAGCAGAGGCGCUGUGACACGCUCCCACAAGGCCUCUCAUUAGAAACAGAGCUGUCUGGCAAGCUGGACCAUAAACUUUAGAGAGGUCACCCCCCCAUCCUGUUCUUCUGCACUGUAAACAAGCAGAAAGGUGCCGAUGUGUGCGAUGCCAGGAAAGGUCAGGAGAUGAUUUAGUGAACAUUUAUGGAGGCUUUAUCUUCAGUCCUUGUCACCAAUUCGGGUGAUGCUUCAUAGAGGGUCGCCAAACAGACGUGGAAAAAGAAAGAGCAUGACAACGCCACAACCGCAAUGACACAGUCUUUAACCAGUCCAACUCUUGGCAGGUACAGAACACUAAAGGACCAUUUUAUUUCUAAAUGAGUCUGAAUGGCGCUCCACAAAGACUGGAAAUGCUGCUGCCCUUUCAUUUUAAAUGGCUAUCGGGUUCAUCAUGCACAGAAAACUCAUCACAGAAAAUGAGCGGGUUGGAGAAGAGACAGGAGAUGUGAACUGUCCCUCUGAAGUUUACUAAAAAUGUCUGAUGGUUUCACCCAGACAGUUAGGAGAGCUGUGUCUGAAUGGGAUCCAAAUCUCUGCUUAUUCGGCUAAUGAACCAGGACAAGCACAAAGUGCAUUUUAUGAGAGAGAUAGUCACAUAUUCAAAUGGGACAUAAACCCCCACGUAACAACAGCACAGAUGGAACAGAGGCACAUGACAGACAAGCCCGUUCAGAAAAAAAAGCAAGUAUGAGGAAUGUGUCUAUGUCAAGAAAAACAGCCUCUUAUUCUACACACUAUUACUGUCUCUUUUUGUCUUCUCUUGUCCACCUGUGUCCCAGCAGCAAUUAAGGACCCUGGUGGAUCCAAUCACAGAAUCACACGAAUGGCUGAAUGUGAGUUUAUAUUCAAAACUCUGAGCAUCUAUAUUUGCAGCCUGUCUGCCGUGCUGUGAUUCGGGUGAGGAUGGUGGACUCGUGACAGAUCAGGGCAUUCAGGCUGGUGACAUUCCUCCUGGCGAGCAGAUCCAUCCUGGGCAGGGGUUGAAAAAUGCCGCGGCGCGCUGCUGCUCAGCUGCAGAUGAAUGGAGCUAUCUGUCUUGUCACGAGGGGUCGGCGGGAGAGGUUACAGCCCAACUGUACCUGGUCUCUGGUGCUGACGCCUGCACGCCGCUUUCCUUUAGAAACCGAGAGGGGAGGGAGAGAGAAACGAAUCCUGCCCCAUCAAGCACUUCUUCAGUCCCUCAGAGCUCAUCUCACUUCCCAUCAUCCUGCAGUCCUGCUGCCCUGAGCGCAGGCUUUGACACAUCUAUAUGUUUUUCCUUCUGACCUUUCAACGUCCUUUCUGUCAGCGCCUGUAAACCAUAAGCUGAUGUAUGAGGGCAAUUUUUAGCGGUGCCACUUGUAUCUGAGUGAUUGCGCAAACUUUACAUUUGGGGGGCCUGCCAUCCUGCCACCUCCUCAACAUCUCUUUAUUUGCUUUGCUUGAGAUUGAGGCAGAGAAACUGAGGGGAAGGAAUAAAAAAGCGGGGAGGGGAGGGGACGGGGGAGUCCAUUCUCAACAACCUCCAGGCAACAGGCCUGCACUUUAUCAGUCUAGCUAGCUGAGCCCCUCAGGCCGGUUCAAAUAGACCAAUUUCAAAUACUUGAACAAACAAACUCCUGUACAAAGAAACCAGAGAAAUGGUCAACUUUCAUUGGGAUACUGAUCCCAUAUGUUAAUAUCUAAUAAUGCUUCUAACCCAGGGGUUUUCAAACAUAGGCCAGAAGGGGUUACCAACAAUGUAUAUCUUUUUUUUUUUUUUACAAUUU